CCCACCCUGCACCCCCCUCCCAAGAGCCCCCCACACCUCCCCCUGCUGCUGCCACCGCUGCCGCUGCUCCCCCCUCCACAGAACGCAGCUCUUCGCCUUCCUCCGCGGAUCCCGGUGAGGAAGAGGAGGAUGAAGGAGAGCCCAGCACAGCCGAGCUGCGCCGCCGCCGCCUCCAGAAAUUGGGGUCCCCAUCGCCCCCCCCCGCCUCCCUCUGACCCCAAUGAGGACUUUAUUUGGGGGGGGGAGGGGGUCGGGGGGGCACCCACCCCUUCCUCUCAGAUUUUGGGGGCACUCAGAACCCACCUGGAGCCCUUUCUGCCUCCCCCCCCCCCAAAAAAAAA
Phasianus colchicus (ring-necked pheasant) is the source of this 341-nucleotide non-coding RNA. NCBI's taxonomy places the organism in Eukaryota, Metazoa, Chordata, Aves, Galliformes, Phasianidae. The record is from RefSeq and is a predicted model, not a curated record.